Molecule: ribosomal RNA, 912 nt
Filed under: uncultured bacterium
Lineage: Bacteria
Description: bacterial SSU rRNA
Rfam family: Bacterial small subunit ribosomal RNA
Source: RNAcentral
GGUUAACGCUGGCGGCGCGCAUAACACAUGCAAGUCGAGCGAGGGCUUAUUUCUCGCAAGAGAGAUAAGUUCCUAGCGGCGAACGGGUGAGUAACACGUGGGCAACCUUUCCUAUCGCGGGGGAUAACACCGGGAAACCGAUGCUAAUACCGCAUGUCGUCACCGGUCGCAUGGCUGGUGAAGAAAGCAGCAAUGCACAAUGGGGUGGGCCCGCGGCCUAUCAGCUAGUCGGUGGGGUAACGGCCUACCGAGGCGAUGACGGGUAGCUGGUCUGAGAGGACGGCUAGCCACACGGGGACUGAGACACGGCCCCGACUCCUACGGGAGGCAGCAGUGAGGAAUCUUCCGCAAUGGGCGAAAGCCUGACGGAGCGACGCCGCGUGUGGGAUGAAGUCUUUCGGGAUGUAAACCACUGUCGGAGGGGAAGACAUCGACGGUACCCUCCAAGAAAGCCCCGGCUAACUACGUGCCAGCAGCCGCGGUAAUACGUAGGGGGCAAGCGUUAUCCAGAUUUACUGGGCGUAAAGCGCGUGUAGGCGGCUGGUUAGGUGUGAUGUGAAAUCUUCCGGCUCAACCGGAAAACUGCAUUGCAAACCGGCCUGGCUAGAGUGCAGGAGAGGGAAGCGGAAUUCCAGGUGUAGCGGUGAAAUGCGUAGAUAUCUGGAGGAACACCAGUGGCGAAGGCGGCUUCCUGGCCUGCAACUGACGCUGAGACGCGAAAGCGUGGGGAGCGAACCGGAUUAGAUACCCGGGUAGUCCACGCCCUAAACGUUGUGAACUAGGUGUUGGUCGGAUUGACCCGAUCAGUGCCGCAGCUAACGCAUUAAGUUCACCGCCUGGGGACUACGGCCGCAGGGUUUAAAACUCAAGGAAUAGGCGGGGGCCCNCACAAGCAGCGGAACGUGUGGUUUA